AUGUCAUGCGCUCGAGGUGGUCUCCCGUUUGGCCUCGUGCGACCCGGUCGUACGAGAUUUUUUUCCUUGUCUGUUCGGAACAUCGUUGUCCUCCAAGGUUACAUCAAGUAUUUCGAGAUGCACAAUAAUGUCAGACCGAGCUCAUACACCGGAAGCUCCCCGAUAUUAGAAGGUUGGAUUGCUGCAACAAAAAAGAUAAAAAUUUCAAGCAUUGGUUCUGGUAGUAACUGGGAGGAGGACUGCACUAUCAGAUGCUGUGAUGAUGUCCCAGUGGAUAACCCUGUGUAUGCCCAAAUGUUACCUAAUCCGCAGGAGGGUGAUGAUACCAAGCCAAACCUGAAGAAAAUUUGUGUAGGCUAUCCUGCUCUUAGCUUGCAUGAUGGUGAUGUUGUUUACCUCAUGCACACACUUGAUCCCCGUCAGGUUAAGGCCUGUGUGAUUGUUCUUGAUAUGAGGAACAAGACUGUAAAAGGUGUGGCUAAUUUUGGCUCUGGAAGACGCCUGGGUUAUCAUUCACCUACCUUGAGAGUGGGAUCUCCAAGCAUCUGGGCAUUCUCUCACCGACCAGGAUGGUGA
RNAcentral lists this ribosomal RNA (576 nucleotides) under Triticum aestivum (bread wheat). Its description in RNAcentral is "partial small subunit ribosomal RNA". Lineage: Eukaryota; Viridiplantae; Streptophyta; Magnoliopsida; Poales; Poaceae. The record is from RNAcentral.